Molecule: ribosomal RNA, 301 nt
Filed under: uncultured bacterium
Lineage: Bacteria
Description: partial 16S ribosomal RNA
Rfam family: Bacterial small subunit ribosomal RNA
Source: RNAcentral
CAGUCGCCGCGGGAAUACGUAGGUAGCAAGCGUUGUCCGGAAUUAUUGGGCGUAAAGGGCUCGCAGGCGGUUUCUUAAGUCUGAUGUGAAAGCCCCCGGCUCAACCGGGGAGGGUCAUUGGAAACUGGGAAACUUGAGUGCAGAAGAGGAGAGUGGAAUUCCACGUGUAGCGGUGAAAUGCGUAGAGAUGUGGAGGAACACCAGUGGCGAAGGCGACUCUCUGGUCUGUAACUGACGCUGAGGAGCGAAAGCGUGGGGAGCGAACAGGAUUAGAUACCCGGGUAGUCCCUGUCUCUUAUAA